This 253-nucleotide ribosomal RNA is filed under the name uncultured bacterium. Its description in RNAcentral is "partial 16S ribosomal RNA". It matches the Rfam family "Bacterial small subunit ribosomal RNA", at positions 524 to 776 of the family's 1533-position model. The record is from RNAcentral.
UACGGGGGGAGCAAGCGUUGUUCGGAUUUACCGGGCGUAAAGGGCGCGUAGGCGGCGCAACAAGUCACUUGUGAAAUCUCCGGGCUUAACCCGGAGCGGCCAAGUGAUACUGUCGUGCUAGAGUGCGGAAGGGGCUACUGGAAUUCUCGGUGUAGCGGUGAAAUGCGUAGAUAUCGAGAGGAACACCUGCGGCGAAGGCGGGUAGCUGGGCCGACACUGACGCUGAGGCGCGAAAGCCAGGGGAGCGAACGGG